RNAcentral lists this ribosomal RNA (504 nucleotides) under uncultured bacterium. RNAcentral describes it as "partial 16S ribosomal RNA". It matches the Rfam family "Bacterial small subunit ribosomal RNA", at positions 30 to 523 of the family's 1533-position model. The record is from RNAcentral.
AUUGAACGCUGGCGGCAGGCCUAACACAUGCAAGUCGAACGGUAGCACAGAGAGCUUGCUCUCGGGUGACGAGUGGCGGACGGGUGAGUAAUGUCUGGGAAACUGCACGAUGGAAGGGGAUAACUACUGGAAACGGUAGCUAAUACCGCAUAACGUCGCAAGACCAAAGUGGGGGACCUUCGGGCCUCACACCAUCGGAUGUGCCCAGAUGGGAUUAGCUAGUAGGUGGGGUAAUGGCUCACCUAGGCGACGAUCCCUAGCUGGUCUGAGAGGAUGACCAGCCACACUGGAACUGAGACACGGUCCAGACUCCGACGGGAGGCAGCAGUGGGGAAUAUUGCACAAUGGGCGCAAGCCUGAUGCAGCCAUGCCGCGUGUAUGAAGAAGGCCUUCGGGUUGUAAAGUACUUUCAGCGGGGAGGAAGGCGGUGGAGUUAAUAACUUCACCGAUUGACGUUACCCGCAGAAGAAGCACCGGCUAACUCCGUGCCAGCAGCCGCCGUAA